UACGUAGGGACCAAGCGUUGUUCGGAUUUACUGGGCGUAAAGGGCGCGUAGGCGGCGCGGUAAGUCACUUGUGAAAUCUCUGAGCUUAACUCAGAACGGCCAAGUGAUACUGCAGUGCUAGAGUGUGGAAGGGGCAAUCGGAAUUCUUGGUGUAGCGGUGAAAUGCGCAGAUAUCAGGAGGAACACCGAUUGCGAAGGCAGCUCGCUGGGACGUGACUGACGCUGAGACGCGAAAGCGUGGGGAGCAAACAGG
RNAcentral lists this ribosomal RNA (253 nucleotides) under uncultured bacterium. Its description in RNAcentral is "partial 16S ribosomal RNA". It matches the Rfam family "Bacterial small subunit ribosomal RNA", at positions 524 to 776 of the family's 1533-position model. The record is from RNAcentral.